GACGAACCGUACGAACGUUAUUCGGAAUCACUGGGCUUAAAGGGUGCGUAGGCGGCGCAGCAAGUUGGGUGUGAAAUCCCUCGGCUCAACCGAGGAACUGCGCCCAAAACUACUGUGCUCGAGGGAGACAGAGGUGAGCGGAACUUAGGGUGGAGCGGUGAAAUGCGUUGAUAUCCUAAGGAACACCGGUGGCGAAAGCGGCUCACUGGGUCUCUUCUGACGCUGAGGCACGAAAGCUAGGGUAGCGAACGGG
This 253-nucleotide ribosomal RNA is filed under the name uncultured bacterium. RNAcentral's name for it is "partial 16S ribosomal RNA". It matches the Rfam family "Bacterial small subunit ribosomal RNA", at positions 524 to 776 of the family's 1533-position model. The record is from RNAcentral.